CCUACGGGGGGCAGCAGUCGAGAAUCAUUCACAAUGGGGGAAACCCUGAUGGUGCGACGCCGCGUGGGGGAAUGAAGGUCUUCGGAUUGUAAACCCCUGUCAUGUGGGAGCAAAUUAAAAAGAUAGUACCACAAGAGGAAGAGACGGCUAACUCUGUGCCAGCAGCCGCGGUAAUACAGAGGUCUCAAGCGUUGUUCGGAAUCACUGGGCGUAAAGCGUGCGUAGGCUGUUUCGUAAGUCGUGUGUGAAAGGCGCGGGCUCAACCCGCGGACGGCACAUGAUACUGCGAGACUAGAGUAAGGGAGGGGGAACCGGAAUGCUCGGUGUAGCAGUGAAAUGCGUAGAUAUCGAGAGGAACACUCGUGGCGAAGGCGGGUUCCUGGACAUUAACUGACGCUGAGGCACGAAGGCCAGGGGAGCGAAAGGGAUUAGAUACCCGUGUAGUC
RNAcentral lists this ribosomal RNA (446 nucleotides) under uncultured bacterium. RNAcentral describes it as "partial 16S ribosomal RNA". It matches the Rfam family "Bacterial small subunit ribosomal RNA", at positions 338 to 795 of the family's 1533-position model. The record is from RNAcentral.